Molecule: ribosomal RNA, 508 nt
Filed under: uncultured Sclerocystis
Lineage: Eukaryota; Fungi; Glomeromycota; Glomeromycetes; Glomerales; Glomeraceae
Description: SSU rRNA
Rfam family: Eukaryotic small subunit ribosomal RNA
Source: RNAcentral
AGCAGCCGCGGUAAUUCCAGCUCCAAUAGCGUAUAUUAAAGUUGUUGCAGUUAAAAAGCUCGUAGUUGAAUUUCGGGAUUAGUAAGUUGGUCGUGCCUCUGGUAUGUACUGGCUUUACUGGUUCCUCCUUCUUGAAGAACUGUAAUGUCAUUAAUUUGGUGUUGCAGGGAAACAGGACUGUUACUUUGAAAAAAUUAGAGUGUUUAAAGCAGGCUAACGCUUGAAUACAUUAGCAUGGAAUAAUGAAAUAGGACGUUUGAUCCUAUUUUGUUGGUUUCUAGGAUUGACGUAAUGAUUAAUAGGGAUAGUUGGGGGCAUUAGUAUUCAAUUGUCAGAGGUGAAAUUCUUGGAUUUAUUGAAGACUAACUACUGCGAAAGCAUUUGCCAAGGAUGUUUUCAUUAAUCAAGAACGAAAGUUAGGGGAUCGAAGACGAUCAGAUACCGUCGUAGUCUUAGCCAUAAACUAUGCCGACUAGGGAUCGGAUGAUGUUAAUUUUUUAAUGUCUCA